Molecule: small nuclear RNA, 18 nt
Filed under: Arabidopsis thaliana (thale cress)
Lineage: Eukaryota; Viridiplantae; Streptophyta; Magnoliopsida; Brassicales; Brassicaceae
Description: snRNA_15353
Source: RNAcentral
CCCAAGGCUCGCUUCGGC